Molecule: ribosomal RNA, 464 nt
Filed under: Vreelandella stevensii
Lineage: Bacteria; Pseudomonadati; Pseudomonadota; Gammaproteobacteria; Oceanospirillales; Halomonadaceae
Description: partial 16S ribosomal RNA
Rfam family: Bacterial small subunit ribosomal RNA
Source: RNAcentral
CUACGGGGGGCUGCAGUGGGGAAUAUUGGACAAUGGGGGCAACCCUGAUCCAGCCAUGCCGCGUGUGUGAAGAAGGCCCUCGGGUUGUAAAGCACUUUCAGUGAGGAAGAACGCCUGGUGGUUAAUACCCAUCAGGAAAGACAUCACUCACAGAAGAAGCACCGGCUAACUCCGUGCCAGCAGCCGCGGUAAUACGGAGGGUGCGAGCGUUAAUCGGAAUUACUGGGCGUAAAGCGCGCGUAGGUGGCUUGAUAAGCCGGUUGUGAAAGCCCCGGGCUCAACCUGGGAACGGCAUCCGGAACUGUCAAGCUAGAGUGCAGGAGAGGAAGGUAGAAUUCCCGGUGUAGCGGUGAAAUGCGUAGAGAUCGGGAGGAAUACCAGUGGCGAAGGCGGCCUUCUGGACUGACACUGACACUGAGGUGCGAAAGCGUGGGUAGCAAACAGGAUUAGAUACCCUUGUAGUC